This is a non-coding RNA of Nelumbo nucifera (sacred lotus), 537 nucleotides long. NCBI's taxonomy places the organism in Eukaryota, Viridiplantae, Streptophyta, Magnoliopsida, Proteales, Nelumbonaceae. The record is from RefSeq and is a predicted model, not a curated record.
UCAAAAGUUUUCGUCUCCAUGAUUCAGGAAGAUACGGAGUUGCAGAGGCGAAGGCAAAGGAAAAACAUUUUCCUUUGGACAGUGAUGCAGCGCGAUACUGGGCAACCCCUGGCCAGUGUUUGGCACUAAAGUUCAUGGUACGAUUCUGCUUUUCCAACUCCUCUGAAAUAUUUGCGGUGGUGAGUCUUUAUUAUCACCAGUCAUCUUCUUCCAUGGCGGUGGUACUAAGAAGGAUUUACAGUGAAGAUGAUGGAGUAGUCAUCAGGACCUCAUCUUCACCAGCCAAGCGUGCCUGUAGGCUGGUUAUCAUGGUGGCUUUUUAUCCUGUUCUUUUUCUUUUUUUGGGUUGGUUUGUUUGUUUGUUUCUUCUGUUCCAAUGCAAAUGCGGGGCCACCCACACAUGCAGCCUCCAUUUCAAAUUCUGAGACUCAUAGCACGGCAAUGCCAGUAGGGAUUUUUAAGUGGAUUCGAGUCUGGUUAUUUCAAAUAUCAAAAGGUGAGGAGGGGCAUCUGUAGAGGGCCUUACUGAUUCUUUUU